This 789-nucleotide ribosomal RNA is filed under the name uncultured bacterium. RNAcentral's name for it is "bacterial SSU rRNA". It matches the Rfam family "Bacterial small subunit ribosomal RNA", at positions 711 to 1498 of the family's 1533-position model. The record is from RNAcentral.
AGUGGCGAAGGCGACUUCCUGGACUAAAACUGACGCUGAGGAACGAAAGCGUGGGUAGCAAACGGGAUUAGAUACCCCGGUAGUCCACGCCGUAAACGAUGUCAACUAGCCGUUGGGUCUAUUUAUAGACUUAGUGGCGGAGCUAACGUAUUAAGUUGACCGCCUGGGGAGUACGGCCGCAAGGUUAAAACUCAAAUGAAUUGACGGGGGCCCGCACAAGCGGUGGAGCAUGUGGUUUAAUUCGAUGCAACGCGAAGAACCUUACCUACCCUUGACAUGUAGUGAACUUACCAGAGAUGGUUUGGUGCCUUCGGGAACACUAACACAGGUGCUGCAUGGCUGUCGUCAGCUCGUGUCGUGAGAUGUUGGGUUAAGUCCCGUAACGAGCGCAACCCUUAUCCUUAGUUGCUAGCAGGUAAUGCUGAGAACUCUAGGGAGACUGCCAGUGAUAAACUGGAGGAAGGUGGGGACGACGUCAAGUCAUCAUGGCCCUUAUGGGUAGGGCUACACACGUGCUACAAUGGUCGGUACAGAGGGCCGCAAACUCGCGAGAGUAAGCUAAUCCCAGAAAGCCGAUCUUAGUCCGGAUUGCAGUCUGCAACUCGACUGCAUGAAGUUGGAAUCGCUAGUAAUCGCGGAUCAGAAUGCCGCGGUGAAUACGUUCCCGGGCCUUGUACACACCGCCCGUCACACCAUGGGAGUGGGUUGCAAAAGAAGUGGGUAGUCUAACCUUCGGGAGGGCGCUCACCACUUUGUGAUUCAUGACUGGGGUGAAGUCGUAACAAGGUA